CCUACGGGGUGCAGCAGUGGGGAAUAUUGGACAAUGGGCGAAAGCCUGAUCCAGCCAUGCCGCGUGUGUGAAGAAGGCCUUCGGGUUGUAAAGCACUAUCAGUGGGGAAGAAAGCCUUGGGGCUAAUACCCUCGAGGAAGGACAUCACCCACAGAAGAAGCACCGGCUAACUCCGUGCCAGCAGCCGCGGUAAUACGGAGGGUGCGAGCGUUAAUCGGAAUUACUGGGCGUAAAGCGCGCGUAGGCGGUCUGAUAAGCCGGUUGUGAAAGCCCCGGGCUCAACCUGGGAACGGCAUCCGGAACUGUCAGGCUAGAGUGCAGGAGAGGAAGGUAGAAUUCCCGGUGUAGCGGUGAAAUGCGUAGAGAUCGGGAGGAAUACCAGUGGCGAAGGCGGCCUUCUGGACUGACACUGACGCUGAGGUGCGAAAGCGUGGGUAGCAAACAGGAUUAGAUACCCGUGUAGUC
RNAcentral lists this ribosomal RNA (465 nucleotides) under Vreelandella stevensii. Its description in RNAcentral is "partial 16S ribosomal RNA". It matches the Rfam family "Bacterial small subunit ribosomal RNA", at positions 338 to 795 of the family's 1533-position model. The record is from RNAcentral. Lineage: Bacteria; Pseudomonadati; Pseudomonadota; Gammaproteobacteria; Oceanospirillales; Halomonadaceae.